AGAGUUUGAUUCUGGCUCAGGAUGAACGCUGGCGGCGUGCCUAACACAUGCAAGUCGAGCGAAGCGCUUUACUUGAAUUCUUCGGAAGGAAAGUAUUGUGACUGAGCGGCGGACGGGUGAGUAACGCGUGGGUAACCUGCCUCAUACAGGGGGAUAACAGUUAGAAAUGACUGCUAAUACCGCAUAAGACCACAGCACCGCAUGGUGCGGGGGUAAAAACUCCGGUGGUAUGAGAUGGACCCGCGUCUGAUUAGCUAGUUGGUAAGGUAAGGGCUUACCAAGGCGACGAUCAGUAGCCGACCUGAGAGGGUGAUCGGCCACAUUGGGACUGAGACACGGCCCAAACUCCUACGGGAGGCAGCAGUGGGGAAUAUUCCACAAUGGGGGAAACCCUGAUGCAGCGACGCCGCGUGAGUGAAGAAGUAUUUCGGUAUGUAAAGCUCUAUCAGCAGGGAAGAAAAUGACGGUACCUGACUAAGAAGCCCCGGCUAACUACGUGCCAGCAGCCCCGGUAAUACGUAGGGGGCAAGCGUUAUCCGGAUUUACUGGGUGUAAAGGGAGCGUAGACGGCUGUGCAAGUCUGAUGUGAAAGGCAGGGGCUCAACUCCUGGACUGCAUUGGAAACUGUGUAGCUUGAGUGCCGGAGAGGUAAGCGGAAUUCCUAGUGUAGCGGUGAAAUGCGUAGAUAUUAGGAGGAACACCAGUGGCGAAGGCGGCUUACUGGACGGUAACUGACGUUGAGGCUCGAAAGCGUGGGGAGCAAACAGGAUUAGAUACCCUGGUAGUCCACGCCGUAAACAAUGAAUACUAGGUGUCGGGGGACCCGGUCCUUUCGGUGCCCCAGCAAACGCAGUAAGUAUUCCACCGGGGGAGUACGUUGCCAGAAUGAAACUCAAAGGAAUUGACGGGGACCCCGCACAAGCGGUGGAGCAUGUGGUUAAUUUGAAGCAACGCGAAGAACCUUACCAAGUCUUGACAUCCUGCUGACCGGUGAGUAAUGUCAUCUCUCCUUCGGGACAGCAGAGACAGGUGGUGCAUGGUUGUCGUCAGCUCGUGUCGUGAGAUGUUGGGUUAAGUCCCGCAACGAGCGCAACCCUUAUUGUCAGUAGCCAGCAUUUCGGAUGGGCACUCUGAUGAGACUGCCAGGGAUAACCUGGAGGAAGGUGGGGAUGACGUCAAAUCAUCAUGCCCCUUAUGACUUGGGCUACACACGUGCUACAAUGGCGUAAACAAAGGGAAGCGAGCCCGCGAGGGGGAGCAAAUCCCAAAAAUAACGUCCCAGUUCGGAUUGUAGUCUGCAACCCGACUACAUGAAGCUGGAAUCGCUAGUAAUCGCGGAUCAGCAUGCCGCGGUGAAUAAGAUCCCGGGUCUUGCACU
RNAcentral lists this ribosomal RNA (1378 nucleotides) under uncultured bacterium. RNAcentral's name for it is "bacterial SSU rRNA". It matches the Rfam family "Bacterial small subunit ribosomal RNA". The record is from RNAcentral.